AGUGAACGCUGGUGGUAGGCCUAACACAUGCAAGUCGAACGGCAGCACAGUAAGAGCUUGCUCUUACGGGUGGCGAGUGGCGGACGGGUGAGGAAUACAUCGGAAUCUACUUUUUCGUGGGGGAUAACGUAGGGAAACUUACGCUAAUACCGCAUACGACCUACGGGUGAAAGCAGGGGAUCUUCGGACCUUGCGCGAUUGAAUGAGCCGAUGUCGGAUUAGCUAGUUGGCGGGGUAAAGGCCCACCAAGGCGACGAUCCGUAGCUGGUCUGAGAGGAUGAUCAGCCACAAUGGAACUGAGACACGGUCCAGACUCCUACGGGAGGCAGCAGUGGGGAAUAUUGGACAAUGGGCGCAAGCCUGAUCCAGACAUACCGCGUGGGUGAAGAAGGCCUUCGGGUUGUAAAGCCCUUUUGUUGGGAAAGAAAAGCAGCAGGUUAAUACCCCGCUGUUCUGACGGUACCCAAAGAAUAAGCACCGGCUAACUUCGUG
This 492-nucleotide ribosomal RNA is filed under the name uncultured bacterium. Its description in RNAcentral is "partial 16S ribosomal RNA". It matches the Rfam family "Bacterial small subunit ribosomal RNA", at positions 29 to 507 of the family's 1533-position model. The record is from RNAcentral.